Molecule: long non-coding RNA, 300 nt
Organism: Triticum aestivum (bread wheat)
Lineage: Eukaryota; Viridiplantae; Streptophyta; Magnoliopsida; Poales; Poaceae
Exons: 3
Source: RefSeq, a predicted model, not a curated record
CCGUGAACAAAUAGCAAGCUAGCUGGGAGACAGAAAUAGAAGGGGAAGAUAUAUUUCAUUGGUGCCCUCAACGGAAGUGUGUACGCCCGGUGUUUCAGUUGGUCUGAAUCAUCUCCAGAAAUUCGAACAACCAUAGAUUGGACCACCGCCUUUGAUUUCAAACAACCCGCAUUCAAUCUCAAUCGAGAAAGCAUAUCAAAGGGCGAUGGAUCGAGGUUGGAUGAGUCAACCAAGAGCUAGUGCUGCUUACAAAGAUGGUGUCGAGCAAUUUCUGACUUUUGCAUUCCGUGAUGUUCCGGC